Long non-coding RNA from Pundamilia nyererei, 446 nucleotides. RefSeq lists it as uncharacterized. The transcript is spliced from 3 exons. The record is from RefSeq and is a predicted model, not a curated record. Lineage: Eukaryota; Metazoa; Chordata; Actinopteri; Cichliformes; Cichlidae.
GCAAGAGUUUAGGAAGUACAGGUGCAAGUUUUUCCAAAGAUCGAACUCACCUCACAUACAGGAAGGAAAACUGGAGAAUGAGCAUAUAAACUGCCCACGAACAUAUCUCAGCGUGUACAGAACAGCGAACAGCACCAUCACAUGUGAUUAUCCAGAUGUUUACGAGUCCCACAUAAAGUUCUUCUGUAAAAAGAACCGUUUUACCUGUGAGGACAUUUUAUCAACGUCAAAAGGGACGUUUACUCUCACAGGCAGCAGCCGUGCCUUUAACAUUUCCAUCAGUCAUGUGACCUCACAGGAUGCUGGUGAUUACUGGUGUGGAGUGGAAUCAAAUGAUGGAAGUUACAGAUUAUCACACACACAAAUACACCUGAAAGUUAUAGACAUUCAACCUUUGACAUCAACUAUUGGGCAGAACUUCACAUACCAGUGUAAGUACAACCAGG